CCUACGGGUGGCAGCAGUGAGGAAUAUUGGUCAAUGGGCGAGAUCCUGAACCAGCCAAGCCGCGUGAGGGAAGACGGCCCUAUGGGUUGUAAACCUCUUUUGUCGGAGAACAAAACCCGGGACGUGUCCCGUCCUGCGUGUAUCCGAAGAAACAGCAUCGGCUAACUCCGUGCCAUCACCCCCGGUAAUACGGGGGAUGCGAGCGUUAUCCGGAUUUAUUGGGUUAAAAGGGUGCGUAGGCGGUCCGUUAAGUCAGCGGUAAAAUUGCGGGGCUAAACCCCGUCGAGCCGUUGAAACUGGCAGACUUGAGUUGGCGAGAGGUACGCGGAACGCGAGGUGUAGCGGUGAAAUGCAUAGAUAUCGCGCAGAACUCCGAUUGCGAAAGCAGCGUACCGGCGUCAGACUGACGCUGAGGUACGAAAGCGUGGGGAGCGAACAGGAUUAGAUACCCUUGUAGUC
RNAcentral lists this ribosomal RNA (459 nucleotides) under uncultured bacterium. RNAcentral's name for it is "partial 16S ribosomal RNA". It matches the Rfam family "Bacterial small subunit ribosomal RNA", at positions 338 to 795 of the family's 1533-position model. The record is from RNAcentral.